AUUUAUUUUAAAAUGGCGUUUUUACUUGCAUAACUUCGGAUUUACAGAGACUCGCAGAGACACCACAGAGGGUUCCACGCGUGGUCCCCCAGGUCCAGUUUCCCUGUUGUCGUCAUCUUAGAUCCUGGGACAGCUGUCAAAACCAAACCCUGGGUCAGGACUGCAUUCUAGACUGUACUUGGGUUUCACCAGAUUUUCCCGUCUCAGAUCCGGCCAUGGCAGGGACCCCAGCUCUAACCACCCAGCAGCAUGGGUCGGGCCCCGGCGGGUGUCCUCGUGUGGAGAUGACGAUCGCCCUGGUCACUGCUGGGCCUCUGAGCCCUGAUGUGGCAGGGCCAGCCCCCAGCCCUCCGCCCUGCCCCGGGGGCCCAUCUGCUUCUGGGUCUGUUCAUGCCACUCGCUGCCCCAGGGUCCCCUGGGUGCAGAGUCUGGUGGGAGGUGGGCAGGCACAACCGAGGCGAGGGAAUGCCGUGGCACAGGAGGGCAGCACCUGAGGUCAGGAAGGUCGAGGCAACAGCAGGCACAGGGACCUGAGUCAGGACAGACCCCAGACCCCGGCUGGGCCUGGAGCAGAGGCAGCGCAGGGUAGGCAGCCUUGGGCCAGGGAACAGGAGACAGACCAGCUUGUGUGGUCUGGGGUCAGCAACCCCGGCUCUGAGGCACCAGGCGGAUGGCAGAAGCGAGUGAGGUGGGCCGGGAGACGGCUGCAGAGGAGGGCACGCGUCCCCUGCAGAGCGGAGGUGGCACAUCAGCACUAUCCACAGCACCAGAUCUUCCCAUUGCUUUUAGAGAAGCUUGGAAUCCAUUUUAAAAAGGGACAUGGAGCACAGUGGCGUGGUGGCACACACCUGAAAACCCCAUAGCUCGGGAGGCUGAGGCAGGAGGAUCGAAAGUUCAAGGCAGCCUCAGCAACUUAGCAAGGCUCUAAGCAACUCAGUGAGACCCUGUCUCAAAAGAUAAAAAGGGCAGGUGGAGCCAAAUAUAUGGGGUGCGAGGGGUGAGGGGAGUUGAGGCUGGCCUCAAUGGCUGGUCGGGACCAUCUGGGUACACAGAGGUUCUGCUCAGGAAGUAAAACGUGACAGUGGCCGGGUCUGCAGAGUCUUCGCUUCCUCAUUUGUAAAAGGCUCUGUGACACCUGCAGAUCUGGGUCUUUGGAACAGGGUGCUCCACAAAAAAUCGAGGCAUGUAAUGACACGGGAUCACACAGUUACAGUCUGGGCCCGAUGGUGAGAGGUGAGUGACAUCCAGGCAUCUUGAGGCCCCACGGGGUGACACAAACCAUCAGCUGCAGGAGGGGUGAGAAUCCAGGAGCGGGUGCGGGGUGGGGAUCAAGCACAGACAGCACCGUCCCUCAACCUAGGUCAGGCUCUGGGUCAGAGCGGGUGCCCCAGGGAGCCCUGGUCCUGGGUACUGGGGGCCUGUGACCCCGCCUCCCCGCAGGCUGUCUCUGUGGGAGCUGGAUUGGCGGCCAGCGUCCUGGCAGAACUUCCUCCGAUCCUCCUCCGCUGGUUUCCAUGUUGACGCUCCUUCCCUCCAGCUGAAAGCAGGGUCCGUGGGGAUCCAGGAACCUUCCAGAUCUGUUGCCAAGGGCUGGCAUUGCCUUUGCAAGGCUGCUCAGCUCAUCCUGACUGCGGGGCCACCUGCCACCCGCUGCCACUCUGGGAGCCCCCAGCCCCGUGCUUCCGUCACUAGGGUCUCUGUGGCUCCACUUCCACUCGCUGCUGUGGUCACUGGGUCAGGCCAGGCUGGGCAAGAGGGCUCGGGCGGAAGGGGGCUGGCUCUGGGAAGCUGGCCAGCCCAGCCCUGGGGCAGGAUUGGACACGCUGGGGCCGCUUAGGGAGAAAGGGGAGGGAUCUGCUCACAGCUGUCAGCGAGCUGGAAGAGGUGGGCCCUGGCGGGGACACUGCAGGCAGGACAGGCGGGCAGCGCCCGAGGUACAGAGAGCCCUGAGCCAGGAUGGAGAAGUGAGGCCAGCCCCGGGGCAAGCCCUGUGCACUGGCCAGGGCAGUGGCUGCAGCCAAGCCUCAGAGGAGCUGGUUUGAGUCCCAGCCCAGCCAUUACCGGCUGAGUGACCCUGGCCCCUCCACGCCUGCUCUCCAUGAAGGGGGCGUUGUCACAGCCUGUUGCUCCUGGGCUCCUGUGAGCACCAGAGGACACAUUGGGGUAAAGGGCAGCAGUCACUUGGUGUGGUGGUUGGUGGUGGCCCCCAGCUGCUCACAGGGCCCAGGAUUCAGCCUUGGAAGCAAAGGCCUUGCAUGUCCUGCAUCCUCUAGGCCUGAGGGAGCACCAUGGGCCUGCAGCCACCCCCAGCCCAGUGCUCAGGGUCCGCAGGGCCUGUGGGUGAGAGAGCCAGGCAGGGGGGAACGUAGCUCACUGGAUGGUGCAUGUUCUAUCCAAGGGCCAUCUCUCGCCACCCUGCAGGAACGUGGGCCUACCGUAGCUGAACAGCUCAUUUUUUUUUUCUUUAAGAGAAAUGAGCACUUUAUAUCUAUCUGAAAUACCCCAGUUCUUAGUGUUGGCAGUGAACUCAGUUUUAAAUGUGUGUGCAGUCAGCUGCUGACCAGGGUCACCAGGCUGAAGGGAACUUGGGCCCUGCCAAGGGCUCACCCAGUCCUGCUCAGCACUAGGCUCGGUGCUGGGCUGCACAGAUGCUGGAGCUGGGUGGGCCUGGGAUUCAAAUCCCAGCUCUGCCAAUUCUUAGGGGGGCGGUUUGUGACCAAGUGACUCUGUCUCAGUUUUCUCUUUUGCAAGAUGGGAUUAAGGACUUCCGCCUCUUGGGGCUGGGAGGCUGUGGGUGGUCAGGGAUGACCUGGGACCCUCAGGAGCAGGCCUUUGGGCUACAGUGCAGUCUGCUUCCUUUGGGGCAGAGGGUGCUGGGGCCAGUGGCCUGCAGUGUGCACCUCCUGUCUGCUCGGAGUGAGCCCUGACAGGCUGGGCUCACAAUGGUGACCCAAGAGCCACCAGCCAAAUGAAAUUCAGGCCCAAGGACACUCAGCAAGGCAGACCCGGCCACACACCUGGCAGCCUAGGGCUGGUGGCCAGCUAUGCAGUGUCCUCUGCAUGGGAAAUGUGGGCAAGAGUUUGUCACUUCUGUUUGGGAGGACAGAUUUAGUUCAGAAGUUUGGGAUCAGAUCUGGCUGCCAUUAUUUUUGUGGAUAGUUUUAUCUGAAUGGCACGUGUCCUCGGUCCAUCUAUUGUUCAGGCUGCUCUUGUGCCACAGAGCAGAGCAGGGUAGUCGCAGCAGGCCGUGGGGGCCACAGCCUAGAAUAUCGACAGUCUGGUUCUUUACAGAGAAGUUACUGACCCUGGCCUGCACCAGUCCAGGGCUGGGAUGCGCACGCAGGCUUUGCUGCGGGUAGAUCCAGGGAAGGGACAGGACUUGCGAAGGGCCGUGAAGGGCUUCUGGAAGCAGGUGUGGGCGCGGCACAGGGCAAUCCAGGCCCCUGAUGUCGGUGGGCUUGGCUUCAGGGCAGAUGGUGGUCUAACAGGGGCUUCAGAAGAGGGGCUCUAGCCCAGCUGGGGCGUGAGGUUUCACCUUGUGACGUGCUGUGACAGCCAUUAG
This 3562-nucleotide long non-coding RNA is filed under the name Marmota monax (woodchuck). Lineage: Eukaryota; Metazoa; Chordata; Mammalia; Rodentia; Sciuridae. The record is from RNAcentral.